RNAcentral lists this ribosomal RNA (1452 nucleotides) under metagenome. RNAcentral describes it as "bacterial SSU rRNA". It matches the Rfam family "Bacterial small subunit ribosomal RNA". The record is from RNAcentral.
AGAGUUUGAUCCUGGCUCAGGAUCAACGCUGGCGGCGUGCCUAAUGCAUGCAAGUCGAACGGGUUGCUUUCGGGCAAUCACGUGGCGGACGGGUGCGUAACACGUGGGCAAUCUGCCCCGAGGUGGGGGAUAGCCAUCGGAAACGGUGGGUAAUUCCGCAUGAGCUCGCUUUUCUGUGGGGAGAGUGAGGAAAGCCGAAAGGCGCCUUGGGAGGAGCCUGCGGCCGAUUAGCUAGUUGGUGGGGUAACGGCCUACCAAGGCGAUGAUCGGUAGCUGGUCUGAGAGGACGGCCAGCCACACGGGGACUGAGAGACGGCCCCGACUCCUACGGGAGGCAGCAGCAAGGAAUCUUCCGCAAUGGGCGAAAGCCUGACGGGGCAACGCCGCGUGGGGGACGACGCUUUUCGGAGUGUAAACCCCUUUUCUUGGGGACGAAAGACUGACGGUACCCGAGGAAGAAGGACCGGCUAACUACGUGCCAGCAGCCGCGGUAAUACGUAGGGUCCGAGCGUUGUCCGGAGUUACUGGGCGUAAAGCGCGCGCAGGCGGCUUCAUAAGACUGGCGUGAAAGCCUCCGGCUCAACCGGAGAGGGUCGUCGGUGACUGUGGAGCUUGAGAGUGGCAGGGGCUGGUGGAAUGCCUGGUGUAGUGGUGAAAUGCGUAGAGAUCAGGCGGAACACCCGUGGCGAAGGCGGCCAGCUGGGCCAAAUCUGACGCUGAGGCGCGAAGGCGUGGGGAGCGAACGGGAUUAGAUACCCCGGUAGUCCACGCAGUAAACGAUGCAGACUAGGCGUGGGGGGACUUGACCCCUUCCGUGCCGGAGCCAACGCGGUAAGUCUGCCGCCUGGGGAGUACGGCCGCAAGGCUAAAACUCAAAGAAAUUGACGGGGGCCCGCACAAGCGGCGGAGCGUGCGGUUUAAUUCGACACAACGCGCAGAACCUUACCAAGGCUUGACAUGCGACUGCAGGCCCCGGAAACGGGGCGUCCCUUGAGGGUGUCGCACAGGUGCUGCAUGGCUGUCGUCAGCUCGUGCCGUGAGUUGUUGGGUUAAGUCCCGCAACGAGCGCAACCCCCGCUGCCAGUUGAAUGAUCUGGCGGGACUGCCGGUCGCAAACCGGAGGAAGGUGGGGAUGACGUCAAGUCAGCAUGGCCCUUACGUCUUGGGCUACACGCACGCUACAAUGGCCGGGACAGAGGGUUGCCAAGCCGUGGGCGGAGCCAAUCCCCCAAACCCGGUCUCAGUUCAGAUCGUGGGCUGCAACUCGCCCACGUGAAGUCGGAGUCGCUAGUAACCGCAGGUCAGCAGUACUGCGGUGAAUAUGUUCCCGGGCCUUGUACACACCGCCCGUCACGUCAUGAAAGCCGGCAAUGCCUGAAGCCGGUGGGCCAACCUUCGGGAGGCAGCCGUCGAGGGCAGGGUUGGUGAUUGGGACGAAGUCGUAACAAGGUA